GUGUUCAUUUUGGUUUCUUCUUUUUAUUUAGCUUUUUGACUUUGCUUAACUUUUAGCGGAAUAGUUUAAUUUGCUUACUUUGCAAUCUUAGUUUUGCUUUCCCUUUUUGUCGCAUAAAUGCAUGCCUUAGCUUGUUAUAUAUAGUUAUAUGCUACAUGUUUAUGAAUGCUUAAUCUGUUGUUUUAGUUUUGCUUUUUUCAUAUGUUUAGUAAAUGCAUG
Molecule: long non-coding RNA, 219 nt
Filed under: Mytilus galloprovincialis (Mediterranean mussel)
Lineage: Eukaryota; Metazoa; Mollusca; Bivalvia; Mytilida; Mytilidae
Source: RNAcentral